RNAcentral lists this ribosomal RNA (305 nucleotides) under uncultured bacterium. RNAcentral describes it as "bacterial SSU rRNA". It matches the Rfam family "Bacterial small subunit ribosomal RNA", at positions 335 to 638 of the family's 1533-position model. The record is from RNAcentral.
UUACCUACGUGACGCAGCAGUGAGGAAUAUUGGUCAAUGGCCGGAAGGCUGAACCAGCCCCUCCUCUUUACUGACGAAGGUGCCAAGCAUUGUAAACUUCUUUUGUCAAGGGACAAAAUCAGGCUCGAGAGCCUGACCGAGGGUACUUGAAGAAAAAGCAUCGGCUAACUCCGUGCCAGCAGCCGCGGUAAUACGGAGGAUGCGAGCGUUAUCCGGAUUUAUUGGGUUUAAAGGGUGCGUAGGCGGACUGUUAAGUCAGCGGUAAAAGCCCGGGGCUCAACCCCGGCGAGCCGUUGAAACUGGCG